Molecule: long non-coding RNA, 8602 nt
Filed under: Ananas comosus (pineapple)
Lineage: Eukaryota; Viridiplantae; Streptophyta; Magnoliopsida; Poales; Bromeliaceae
Description: long non-coding RNA (ACOM_LNC040372)
Source: RNAcentral
AGCUAUAUCACUAUAAAGAAGGCAGUCCCAAAAGCAAGAAAGAAGGAUAGGAGAUCAAUUUCACGAAAGGCAUUGAAACUUCUCCGACUAAGCGCUACGGAAAUAGUCCUCCACCUGCCAAAACCUACACUCGCUCUCAUUCCUUACCCUACUCUUAUUCUAAAUAAAAGAAUCAAGGAAAAGAAAGCGGGUGAAGAGUUAAACAUUUCAAUGGCAAUGAAGGAAAUGGGAACACACCUGGAAAACCAUACCCUACCUUUCGAAGACUUGGAACACUUUGAACGAUAGCCUAAUAGCAGAAUAAGAGGCUAAGUAAAGGCUGCGGGAGGGAGGAAAGCACUACUAGCUACAGCUACCUCUACGCGGCCUAUACUUCUUAGGGGUAAGAUGAGGUUAUUCAUGAGGAUGAUAGCACAGACCGAAUCGAAUGGACCACAAAGAAAGCUUACACUACUAUACGUACUACAUGAACUACUCGAAAAGAAAAAGGUCGAUUGGAAUGAGAGUACGUGCUCCACGGGAUAGACUUACAGACGGGAUGAAAGUACAGAAAGCAUAGCAAUUCCCCCCUUUAGUUUAGUUUCGUGGGUUCCCUGCUAUGCUAUUCGACCAGCAUCACCUGAAAGGAAAAUACAGGGCCUCUCUGCCUACUGAUCGUGGUCUCUGGUAAGUUUUCUUGUGCACAUCCGCUCGGUUUCUUUUCGUAUGUAACCAUCGCUCAAACACAAAGAAGGGGUUUCUGCGUUUUUAACUAACGCCUUAAGAAUACGAUACCGCAAUCUGGAAACAAAAGUUUAGGAUCCCCACUCAAUGAACUGCACUACCGACUCAUCGGGGACUAAUACAAGACCAAAAAGUUAGAAAGGCCCGGGUGGGGUGCACCACCUGAGCGAAGAAAGUCAUUCCUUGAAGCGGGAGAGGUACAAAAACUAAAAAAAAAAGCAGUAAACCUUCUAUUCUAGGAUUAUCCGCUACGGCAAAUGCGGAUACAACCCUAACCCCUUAGCCUCUCUCUCCGAACUAACUUACCGACAUUAGCAUUAGGCCAGAUGGCUUAGAACAUCUCCCAAUGGAGAUACAACCGCAUACACAUACCCUCGCUCCAUGAAAAAAGGAAAAUAAGUCCUGGCUGCAGGUUACGAGGGAAACUAACUCAAUACAAAAGGAGGAAAUGUAUCUCAGCCGACUAAAGGGUAUGGGAAUGCCACAUUCACUCGCUACAUAGACCGGGGGGAUGAAGAUGGAGAUUCAUUAAGGGAGCUUUCUUCCUUAGUUGAGGCAGAAGAGAAAGAAGGAAGCUAUAUCACUAUAAAGAAGGCAGUCCCAAAAGCAAGAAAGAAGGAUAGGAGAUCAAUUUCACGAAAGGCAUUGAAACUUCUCCGACUAAGCGCUACGGAAAUAGUCCUCCACCUGCCAAAACCUACACUCGCUCUCAUUCCUUACCCUACUCUUAUUCUAAAUAAAAGAAUCAAGGAAAAGAAAGCGGGUGAAGAGUUAAACAUUUCAAUGGCAAUGAAGGAAAUGGGAACACACCUGGAAAACCAUACCCUACCUUUCGAAGACUUGGAACACUUUGAACGAUAGCCUAAUAGCAGAAUAAGAGGCUAAGUAAAGGCUGCGGGAGGGAGGAAAGCACUACUAGCUACAGCUACCUCUACGCGGCCUAUACUUCUUAGGGGUAAGAUGAGGUUAUUCAUGAGGAUGAUAGCACAGACCGAAUCGAAUGGACCACAAAGAAAGCUUACACUACUAUACGUACUACAUGAACUACUCGAAAAGAAAAAGGUCGAUUGGAAUGAGAGUACGUGCUCCACGGGAUAGACUUACAGACGGGAUGAAAGUACAGAAAGCAUAGCAAUUCCCCCCUUUAGUUUAGUUUCGUGGGUUCCCUGCUAUGCUAUUCGACCAGCAUCACCUGAAAGGAAAAUACAAAACAAUAAGAUAGGGAAACUUAGACAUCCGAAUAAAGGAUAGGGGAAGAAUUACACACCUUUAACCACACUCACUCGCUCAACGAAGGAAAAAAUAGAAAUAAGGAAUUUGGAAACUUGAAGACCACAUUCUAAAGGAAAAAGCAUUGCCCCGAAAGCUUGUAAGGAAGACUUGGAACGGCUUACACAAUCCCUCACUUCAAACGGAAGACAAAUAAGAAUACUGUGACUAACCCCCGUUCCCCUAGUAUGUGACUAAUCCUUUCUUUGUCUAUAGGGUUCCAACGGUAUGGGCAGAUAUCAAUCCUCUUUUCAUUUUUUCAUUGCGAUUAACAGAAAGAAUUCUCCGGGUUUCAAAGAAAAAGCCUUCCUUAUAGUAUAAAGAAGGAAGUACGCCUAUUCUCCGUCUCUGUUAGCAGCGAGCCUAAAAAGAAAGGCAGUGCCAAAAUAAAGUUUCCGAUUGGAAGGUGCGAUAGGACUUCAAUAAUACAUCCAAGCCUCAAGCCAAUACAUGAUUUUCCCUUAAACGAGUUAUUUCCCGAGAUAUAGAAAUGGGUACCUGCGAAAGUGAGUUCUCUAGCCAGCCAGUUACAAGCCAGUAUUCAGCCAGGGGUAUGGAAAGCCUGUUGAAAGGUGCCUUCUUUUGGGGGUUAUAACACCUAAGUCGAUGCUUUCUUAGGUAGGGCAAUCCUGUUAUCUGAGUUAGGAGAGUUUUUUUACUUUAGUAUCUUCAUACAUACGGUACCUAUCCCGAUUGCAAGGGCGCAGGGUCAAAGCAUGGUUAAAGGUUCAAGUAGGAAACUAUACCUUCUUGAUCUUGCUUUCUUUCUUCUCCGUCAGUUAAGUAAGAGCAAGAGCAAACUAAGGGGAUUGAGCCAGUCUUGGCAGUUCAAGUAAAAGGAGCGAGGUGCCUUCAGGCAGGUAUCUUUAUGAAGUCAUGGAAGAGAAUCAAGUGCAGAUAAGAAAGUACCCCGUUUCCACCACAACAGGGAAGCUACCACAGAAGUAAGAGAUUGGUUGGGGAGUUUCACCUGCACCCGAAGCUACGAAGUAAGCGAAUCAAGGCAGUUAUUAGGCUUCCUUUAACGAAAAGAGUAGAAAGCCAGUCCCUUAAGGCUUAUGCGUACCCUGUGCCCCAUUCCCGUUCAAGCCGAAGACUUAUUCUUAUUACAGGAUGUCACCUUGAAUAGAGUAAUAAAGCACGCCGGGCUUAUGGCUUUUUUAUCUACUGUUGAAAGCUAGUCCUCCAAGCCUGUGCCCGAGAGGAGGCCCCCAUAUUCUGUUCCGAGCGCGUAGUAUGUAUAUACAUAGUAUUCCCGAGCGAUAGUAGCCCUUGAGCCUAUGCCUUCUAGUAUUCCCCCCAGCGCCAGCUAUUUUUGGACUUUCCUUUCCAAUGCUCGAAUGCGUAUGUUGCUUCAAGCGAGAAAGUAGACCCCUAUAUCGUUGUUAGGACAGACAGAAUAUACAUCCAAACCAAAGGCAGUUCUUGUGCCAGCACCUACAACCCGCUCAUUCCCUUCUUGUCCCCUUUUUUACCCCUUUUCAUUAGCUUCGCUACCGUGCUGCCUAAUAAGAAAAAGAACUGAGGAGCUGGAACUUGUCGAGCUUUCAUGAACAGCGUAUAGUCGGCUAAGACUAAAUUCCGUACCUUCUUUCACUAAGGGUUCAAAGAGUCCGGUCAUAUCCUCAAGUCAGCUAUCUUUCCUGUAAGCCUUAUCGUACCUCGUUAUCGUUUAAGGGACUGAAAUCCAAUAAAAAGACGGACAGCCAUAAAAGAAAUCCCUAACGCCUGUUCCCGAGUGGAGGAUGGAAAGAUACGUAAAGCCCAUAAGCGGAUAGCUUUCUUACUAAAAAAAAUUCCCAUGAUACUCCAACUUCGAAGAUUAUUGGCUACUUACUUACUACUUUCAUUCAAAUGCCACUGGUGCGUAAGACAUUGAGUUGGAUUACUUUCUUUCUGGUAAUGCCUGUCUUUCCCUCUCCCUUGCUCUUGUCCUUGCCCUUCUACUUACUGGCUUGGCUCUUAGAAAAGGAUUCGGCGGGGGAUUGAACUAAAAAGGAACUAAGCGGCACUCCUCCCUUGCUUCUUACCCCGUAGUGGGAUCUUUUUUUCAAAUCGAUCGUAGAUGUAGCUAGGACAAAAGUCCCUUCUUGUGACAACAUAAGAGAAGGAUACUACCGUCCUCUCUUUUUCACCUUUGGCCUGGUCAAAAAAGCCAUUAACGACCCACGAAAAAAGCUGCUAGUCGAAGAUCCACUAUUUACUCUAUUUAUAAUGGGAUAGGACCAUAGGAAAGAAAGUAAAGUGGAAUCCCGGUGCUUUCGGGUGAUUGUUCCCCGCAUUCAAAUGCUACCCACGUGAAUGCUAGUCGAAUCCGUAUGCCCAAACCACAUAAGAUAAGAUAAGCAGCUAGAUCGACUAGUUGAACUUCCCUUCUCCCCGAAACUGCAAUCUUUCAAGCAAAGAGUAGUCAUAGGCACCUUCAUACUCAAUCCAUAUCCAUCAAUCGGCAUAGUAGUCAAGCAAGCAAAGCCAGCCCUCUCUCCUACUCGAGCUUCGUACUCCCCAUCAAGUGGCACAACACACGUAAGCGGGGGCUGCCCCUUACUAUAUUUCCUUAAUUUCAAUUGCGGGGCAGGACAUGAAUCGCCUCACCGGAAAGCAGUUCUCCUGUGGUUAAGCAAGAAACUUCCUCUUCACUGGUCCCCAAUAGAAAGCAAGAUUACCAUUCGACUGUAGAGCUAUGGAGGCUAGCCUUCCCUAUUCUUAGCGCAUGGGAUGGACAAGCAAGGCGGAAAGGGAGCUGGUCAUUGAAUUCAUUGCCAUUGGAUCGGUAUCUGUCUAUCUGGGGUGUAUGUUGCCAAGGCCUCCCCGUCAAGGAGAGGAUAUGUCACAUAGGUAGCCAUCUUAGUAAUGGAUGCGGAGUCAAUGCAGUUAGGAUAGCCCUUCGGUCGAACGAGUAAACUACCAACAUUCACCAUUGAUUCAUCCAAGGAAGGUGUCUUGGAAGGACGGAGACCUUACUUAGAACCUGAUGAGAAAUCCUUUUUUUAGAAAGAAGUAUGCGAUCGCUCUCUUACUGAUUCUAGUGAAAGGAUAGCGUUCUUUGCCAGCUCGAUUGGUAAGCAUCAUCCUAAGGGGCUUCAAACUUUGGCCGAAAGAUUUGCCCGGCUUCUAGCUUUGUUCGAAAUAGGGUGUAGCGCUUUCUUUCUAAAAGCUAUAGGCGAUCUGAAGCGUAGGCAGGACCGGGGUCUAGCACAAUAGGAGAAGCGGUAACAUCGCUUGAAGCAACCUUUCCGAAAGAGACCGCAGUUAGUUCCUGUCCUAAAUAGGAUUCUUUUUUCUCGAGGUAAACUAGCGAGCCUGCUUCGCCCCUCAUUCUUGAUCUUGUAAAUCAUUGAAUCGAUUUCCUACUCCAAAAGAAAGGAGAGUAGGCGGAUCAAGUGACAGAAUCUAUCCAUUGAAUACCUGAUCAGAGCAUGCUUGGUCAAAGAACCUUUCUUCCUUUACUCUUUCGGCUAAAGGUGGGAAAGCUACUAGCAAAGCCUCUUGUCUUGUAGACGGAACUUUCCUCUAUUUAGGAUAGGACUUAUUUAGGAGAAGGAAGACUGCUUAUUUAAGCCUUUUCCUGCUAUGGUUUACAUGUUCACCUUAUCACUCGAAGGAGAUGACCCAAGAAUUUCGCUAUUUCGAUUUUGCUAGUCCUUGGGAACAAUCUAGUGAGAAGUCCGUCCUAUUGAGGGAUAGGUUAGGGCUAGGGCUGCUAUUACAGGAUUUGGUUCUAAGGCUUUCGUGACCAAAGCCAAAGGUAUAGGGGCAGGACCUGGAACAUAGGAUGUAGAGAGAAGAAUAGCCUUAAGAAUAGCGUUAUAGAAUCCUUCCGGAUAAGAAAGAUUCCUUGAUAGAAGAAGGUAGUUUACUAGGAUUCAACCAAGGGUGCCGGAAGCGGAUGAUGCCAAUAAGAAUGAGUUAGUUUACUUCCUUUUGAACCUGUGAUUCUCCUUUCCUUCUUGCCUUCCUUGGAGACCUCAUCCCUGAUCCUUCUAUUGUCAGUCAAGCAAUCUCUCUGAAAUUUCUCUCUGUCAGCGACAGUAAGACCUGGUGCUUCAAACCAAGGAGUAGUUGACAGCAGCUUUCCCUUGUUCUCAUACUUCUAGCAUUACCUGGGAUAGACCUGGGAAUCUUCUCUUUCCUUUCUCCUUAGUUUCCGAGAAGAUGGUAGACUCAUAAUCCUUCCUUAAGCAAUAGGAUAGGGAUUGAGAAUCUGAUCUUUCUUUGCAGAAACCAUGUUUUCAAGGUAAGGCCGUAAGUCAUUCCGUCUUUAGCUUCUUUCCCUCGAUCAGAGGCCUACUUGUAUAAAGCAAAACCCGAGUUUGUCUUACUUGAUGGGUCAACUCUCAUUAAGCGUUCACCAACAGGCCUUAAUCGUAAGUAAGCAAAUCCCUUGUUCUUUUGCUUUUGAGGGAAGUCAUUAAUGAAGUGUAUCGGUUUACAAGACCGGUAGGCCAGGUGGGCUCUAGCAUAAGGAGUAAACUCACAAAACAUAAAGAAAGCGUUUUGUGAAAGUAAAGAUCGAGGUUUAAGCCAAUUCCUUUAUGAGUCUGCAUACUUAUUCAUUUAGUCUUCCUUGAGGCAGACUUCAUGAUUAGCUUUUUUCUUCAACUAUAUGGCUGGCAAUUCUCACUGCAACUGGAUGGCUAGAAAAGGGGGAUUUCCGUAAUGUAAUACUUUUUGGAGGGCCUUAUCACUGUAAAGAAACUAGCAGCUUUAAUUAGAUCUCAUACUCGACUUUCGAAGGAAAUAACAAGUAAGUGUUAUUGGAAGGGCUGUAACAAAACUUCCAAUAGCGAGCAGGGAUGAAAGAACGAGACUUGACUCUAAUCAAUAGGCGAGAGAGGCAUUCUAUUUCUAUUAGGGAGAUAAAAUCACUUGAAAACUCGUAGAGCUUAAGAGCUUAUUGGCUUGUCCUAGAACUGGCUAUCCAAGACAACAACUGCAACUUUCGCGCCAACUGGAUUACUUGAAACUCCUUCCAAAAUGGCUUACGAGGCUUACCCUAUGAUUUCAACUGGAUAUGACUUCAAUCGAAGGGACCGUAUUCAUUCGCCUUCUCCUAAUCGCUCCUAUCCGAAUCUCUUUUCUUUACUUAGCCUUAGCCUUUUACCCUGCUCGCUUUUUGGCUUACUUUCCAAGAAAUGAAGCAAGAAAUAGCACUUCCUGUAUGGUUGAGAUAUUUUGGAACAGUAGACUACGAGAGGAAGGUAUGAUAUUACUCUACUCCUACUUCGAAGAGUUAAACUCUCUGGCUAGAGGUUAACCUGGCUGGAAGAGAACUCCCCUUGGCUUGACUUCUCUAGUUUACUUUCUCUUGUUGAACUAGCUUAGUAGGCCCUUUCCUUGUACAGGUAGUACUGCUAGCCCUUCACUCCCAGACCUGAGAGCUCACCCGCUUCCUUACUCACUGGCACUGAAACUCUAUCCCUUUCUUACCUUGCUGUUCUAGCAAUUGAAGAGGCAGCUACUGGUUUGAUCAGGAAACGUAUACUAUUAUACCCUAUUCCCAUGGGAAGGGAAGCACUCACCACUCAAACAAAUGGCUCUGGCUAGAAGGAAACUAUAAUUCAAAGCGACGAGGAGAUAGAAGGUGACAGGAUGGAAUGAUCUUUUUUCUGCAACUGCUUCGUUUGGCUCGGGAGGAAUAAAAAGGGUUGAAAAAUUUCAAACGUGUUUAAACUUUUAUAACUUACUUGCCCCAGCACUCAAAAACGGCUUAAGCUUUCUACCCACUCCAUGGAAGGGGAGCUAGCCUGGAAAUGAAAGAAAUCCAUCUAUUGAGCCCUAAAAGGAAAAAUCUCUCUAUUAGCAUUAGACCUCCUCGGGAAUAUUCUCUCUCAUGGAAAGACAUCUAUCUUUGAUCUAUAACCCAAAAAGGGAAAACAUGCAAGAAAGCGCUCCACUCCAAGUGGCACUUGCAACUCAAAAGGUUUAUCUUCUUACUUAAACUCGAUCAAUGGCUGGCAAUUGGCCUGAAUCACCAUUAAGACAAUUCACACUUUUGAUACAAUCCCAAUAGAUGAUAGAAGGAUUGGAUGGUCAUUCGAAAUGCAACAGGGUGAUCGAUAGAUGAAGGGUAGAUAGGCUGGUUAGGAAAAACUUUCUAGUAAGAUAAAAGGACGGAUACUGACAUAUUCAGUUAGUCCUUCUCUUUCACCCUCGGUAUCUUCGAGAAGCAUUUGAAGUGAAGCAAAAAUAUGUACACUAUUGGAAAAACUUUAUUCUGCUAUUCCCAUUUUCAAAAUUCAAUAUCUUCCCUAAGGGAGCUGCCUACAAGGGAUUAGUAGGGGAAGAAAGUCCAACUUCCAACUCCAUAUAAGCAAACUUGGUUUACAAGAAAAUAGCAAUGGAAAAACAAACACUAUUAUAAUACGAACUCGUAUAGAUAUAAUACAUAGAAAGAUCAUCAGUGAAGAGGAAUGCUUCAUUGCCAACUCUCACACUGGAUCUGAAAGGAAAAGCCCUCAUAAAGAUCGCAUUCCCAACUGGCUUUGACGCCUAUCCUGAUCCCGCCUUCAAGUUUUCACCGGCUUUCAAAGAAACUGUCGUAUUGGAUAGGGAUAGACUGCAACUGGAAUUCCAAUUCAAACCGACAGAAAGGAAGGACAGAGACUGC